Molecule: ribosomal RNA, 254 nt
Filed under: uncultured Solibacillus sp.
Lineage: Bacteria; Bacillati; Bacillota; Bacilli; Caryophanales; Caryophanaceae
Description: partial 16S ribosomal RNA
Rfam family: Bacterial small subunit ribosomal RNA
Source: RNAcentral
UACGGAGGGUGGCAAGCGUUGUCCGGAAUUAUUGGGCGUAAAGCGCGCGCAGGUGGUUUCUUAAGUCUGAUGUGAAAGCCCCCGGCUCAGCCGGGGAGGGUCAUUGGAAACUGGGAGACUUGAGUGCAGAAGAGGAUAGUGGAAUUCCAAGUGUAGCGGUGAAAUGCGUAGAGAUUUGGAGGAACACCAGUGGCGAAGGCGACUGUCUGGUCUGUAACUGACACUGAGGCGCGAAAGCGUGGGGAGCAAACAGG